UCAAAGGAAUUGACGGGGGCCCGCACAAGCGGCGGAGCAUGCGGCUUAAUUCGAUGCAACGCGAAGAACCUUACCUAGGCUUGACAGUUGGGGAAAUCUGGCAGAGAUGUCAGGUCCGCAAGGGCCCCAAAACAGGUGGUGCAUGGCUGUCGUCAGCUCGUGUCGUGAGAUGUUGGGUUAAGUCCCGCAACGAGCGCAACCCUCGUCGUAUGUUGCCAGCGGGUAAUGCCGGGGACUCAUACGAGACUGCCGGGGUCAACUCGGAGGAAGGUGGGGAUGACGUCAAGUCAUCAUGCCCCUUAUGUCUAGGGCUGCACGCAUGCUACAAUGGCCGGUACAAAGGGCUGCGAUACCGCAAGGUGGAGCGAAUCCCAAAAAGCCGGUCUCAGUUCGGAUUGGGGUCUGCAACUCGACCCCAUGAAGUCGGAGUCGCUAGUAAUCGCAGAUCAGCAACGCUGCGGUGAUACGUUCCCGGGCCUUGUACACACCGCCCGUCACGUCACGAAAGUCGGCAACACCCGAAGC
RNAcentral lists this ribosomal RNA (525 nucleotides) under uncultured Actinomycetes bacterium. Its description in RNAcentral is "bacterial SSU rRNA". It matches the Rfam family "Bacterial small subunit ribosomal RNA", at positions 901 to 1427 of the family's 1533-position model. The record is from RNAcentral. Lineage: Bacteria; Bacillati; Actinomycetota; Actinomycetes.